Molecule: non-coding RNA, 903 nt
Organism: Chelonoidis abingdonii (Abingdon island giant tortoise)
Lineage: Eukaryota; Metazoa; Chordata; Testudines; Testudinidae
Source: RefSeq, a predicted model, not a curated record
CCCUCUCAACCCUGUGGUGCGUGUCCUUUGGAGAAAUGCAGCCUUGUCGCCAGGGUUACGGGGAGGGGUUCAGCUCUGUCCCGGGGCGCAAGUCCCGCGCGCUCAGGCUCCGCGCAAUGGCACGCGGUAAAAGGAACGUGGGCUCGUGGCAGCAGCUGCACCUUCACGCGCUGUGCGCAAAGCGCUGAGAGGCGUCUAGAGGAAGCCGGCCUACCCGCCAGGGACUCGCCCCUUACACGCUCGUGCGCAGCCCUGCCUAGGCCAGGCGUCACCUCUGCUCCGAGGCGUGCAGCCGGCGGGUCUGAACUGGGUCCGCAGUAGUUGCGCGGCAUGUGGCAGCUCCGAGUCACACGCUGGAUCUUUUAAUAGCUCUGUACGCGGCUUGUAGGCCUGGCAGCAUUUGAUUUUUUUAUAAUUGUGACAAAUAAGUGAUUAUUUUUAAGCAUUUUUCUAAAAAAUUUUAUCCAUUUUCACAGUUGCAGGAAAUUAUGGUGCAUAGGUGCUUGGAACUAGGGGUGCUGCUACACCCCAUGUCUUGAAGUCGUUUCUAUCAUGUACAGGGUUAAUAGUUUGAGUAAAUGGCUCUCAGUACCACCACUGUACAAAUUGUUCCAGUGCCUUUGUAAUGGGGUGGUUCCACACAAUCAUUGUUUAAUGACAGGACUUAUUGAGAUUCAAAAAAUUAAAACUUUAUAACCAUUAAAACAUAUAUUUUGACAUGACAUUGACAAUAUACAAAGUAAAUAUCAUUAAAUCAAACUCUUAAUAACUUCUCAAUUUGUUUUUUUUCUUACUUAGAUAACCAACAUUUAUGAAUCAGCAAUGGAAAUAGUCUGUUUCAUUUGUGUGUAUGGUGAAAAUGAUAUGUAUUGAGAUUUACCAAUAAAAGCAAAUCCCCCAAGU